Molecule: ribosomal RNA, 253 nt
Filed under: uncultured bacterium
Lineage: Bacteria
Description: partial 16S ribosomal RNA
Rfam family: Bacterial small subunit ribosomal RNA
Source: RNAcentral
UACGGAGGGUGCAAGCGUUAUCCGGAUUCACUGGGUUUAAAGGGUGCGUAGGUGGGCUGGUAAGUCAGUGGUGAAAUCUCCAGGCUUAACUUGGAAACUGCCAUUGAUACUAUCAGUCUUGAAUACCGUGGAGGUCAGCGGAAUACGUCAUGUAGCGGUGAAAUGCUUAGAUAUCGUCAAGAACACCGAUAGCGAAGGCAGCUUACCAAGCAGUAACUGACGCUGAGGCACGAAAGUGCGGGGAUCAAACAGG